Molecule: ribosomal RNA, 995 nt
Filed under: uncultured bacterium
Lineage: Bacteria
Description: bacterial SSU rRNA
Rfam family: Bacterial small subunit ribosomal RNA
Source: RNAcentral
GGGGAAUAUUGGGCAAUGGGCGCAAGCCUGACCCAGCAACGCCGCGUGAAGGAAGAAGGCUUUCGGGUUGUAAACUUCUUUUAUCAGGGACGAUAAUGACGGUACCUGAUGAAUAAGCUCCGGCUAACUACGUGCCAGCAGCCGCGGUAAUACGUAGGGAGCAAGCGUUAUCCGGAUUUACUGGGUGUAAAGGGCGUGUAGGCGGGACUGCAAGUCAGAUGUGAAAACUAUGGGCUUAACCCAUAGCCUGCAUUUGAAACUGUAGUUCUUGAGUGGUGGAGAGGCAAAUGGAAUUCCUAGUGUAGCGGUGAAAUGCGUAGAUAUUAGGAAGAACACCAGUGGCGAAGGCGAUUUGCUGGACACUAACUGACGCUGAGGCGCGAAAGUGUGGGUAGCAAACAGGAUUAGAUACCCUGGUAGUCCACACCGUAAACGAUGAUUACUAGGUGUUGGAGGAUUGACCCCUUCAGUGCCGCAGUUAACACAAUAAGUAAUCCACCUGGGGAGUACGACCGCAAGGUUGAAACUCAAAGGAAUUGACGGGGGCCCGCACAAGCAGUGGAGUAUGUGGUUUAAUUCGACGCAACGCGAAGAACCUUACCAAGUCUUGACAUCCCUUGACAGACAUAGAAAUAUGUAAUCUCUUCGGAGCAAGGAGACAGGUGGUGCAUGGUUGUCGUCAGCUCGUGUCGUGAGAUGUUGGGUUAAGUCCCGCAACGAGCGCAACCCUUAUGGUCAGUUACUACGCAAGAGGACUCUGGCCAGACUGCCGUUGACAAAACGGAGGAAGGUGGGGACGACGUCAAAUCAUCAUGCCCCUUAUGGCCUGGGCUACACACGUACUACAAUGGCAGUCAUACAGAGGGAAGCAAAAUCGCGAGGUGGAGCAAAUCCCUAAAAGCUGUCCCAGUUCAGAUUGCAGGCUGCAACCCGCCUGCAUGAAGUCGGAAUUGCUAGUAAUCGCGGAUCAGCAUGCCGCGGUGAAUACGUUCCCG